UACGUAGGGAGCAAGCGUUGUCCGGAAUCAUUGGGCGUAAAGCGCGCGUAGGUGGCCCUGUAAGUCCGCUCUGAAAGUCGAAGGCUCAACCUUCGAAAGCGGGUGGAUACUGCAGGGCUAAAGUCCGGAAGAGGCGAGUGGAAUUCCUGGUGUAGCGGUGGAAUGCGCAGAUAUCAGGAGGAACACCGGUGGCGAAGGCGGGUCUCUGGGCCGAUAUUGACGCUGAGGAGCGAAAGCGUGGGGAGCGAACAGG
This 253-nucleotide ribosomal RNA is filed under the name uncultured bacterium. RNAcentral describes it as "partial 16S ribosomal RNA". It matches the Rfam family "Bacterial small subunit ribosomal RNA", at positions 524 to 776 of the family's 1533-position model. The record is from RNAcentral.